UGACGUCAGAUCAGACGUAGUGACCCGCUGAAUUUAAGCGUAUUAGUGAGCGGAGGAAAAGAGACUAACCAGGAUUCCCUCAGUAACGGUGAGUGAAGAGGGAAGAGCCCAGCGCCAAAUCCCCGCCCUGUGGUGGGGUGCAGGAAAUGUUGUGUAUGGAAGGCCCAGUCCCCGGCACCGCUCAUGGGUGGCCCAAGUCCUGUUCUAGGCCAAGACUGUGGAUGUUGUGAGGCUGGUAGCGGUCCCUGGCGUGCUGGACCCAGGUGUCCUGGAGUUGGGUUGCUUGGGAAUGCAGACCAAAGUGGGUGGUAAACAUCUAAGGCUAAAUACUGGCAUGAGACUUCUAGUGAAGUACCAUAAGGGAAAGUUGAAAAGAACUUUGAAGAGCGUGCAAGAGGGCGUGAAACCAUUAAGAGGUAAAUGGGUAGGGUCCACGCAGUCUGCUCGGAGGAUUCAACCCGGCAGUCGAUCCAGCCGUGUCAGUGGCCUGGUGGAUCUUUCCCGUCCCCGUUUCUCCCGACACCUCCACCAGCCCUCCCUCCCCCACUGCCCCUCCUCCUCCCCGGAGGGGCUGGGCUCCGGUGGGUGUGGGGGUGGGGGGGGCCAUGGUCGGUGGGGGACUAUCCCCCAGUCGGCGACUGGCGGCCGGCGGGUGCAUUUCCACUGCGGCAGUGCACUGUGACUGGCUCUGGGAUGGUUGGGAAGGCCUGGUGGGGAAGGGUGGGUCUGGGGGUCCCGUUCGUCCUUCCCCGUCUUCUCCCCGGCCCCGCAUCCUCCCUUGGGAGGCCGUGCGGGUUGGGGUGGCAGCAGUGGUGGGACCGAACCUCCUGAGUUACAGACCCCCCACGACAGCCCUUGCCAAAUCCCAGGGCUGAGGGAGUGAGACCCAUUGCCAUGCUCUCCCCACCAGUGCCCCCCCCUGUGGGGGUGCGCCGGUGUCUCCUUGUGGGGGGCCAGGCCAACCCUCCCAAGGUGUGACUGCUCUCCCACCCCCCUCCCUGCAUCCCUGGUGAUGGGGGGCCGAGUAAGGGGGUGGGCGGCUGUCCCCAGUGUGCCAGGGGUGGGUUGCGCUGUCGGCCUGGGGGAGUUCUCUCCGGGCCAUGCGGACGUCCCUCAGUGGGAGUGAGAACACGGGGUCGGCGGCAACGUUGGGUCUCCACUGGACACCCGACCCGUCUUGAAACAUGGACCAAGGUUAACACGUGCGUGAGUCAGGGGCUCGCACGAAAGCCGCUGUGGAGCAAUGAAGGUGAAGCCCGGUGUGCUCUCUGGCCGAGGUGGGAUCCCGAGGCCUCUCCAGUCUGCUGAUGGCGUACCACCAUCCCGUCUUAUCUGCCACGCCAGGGAGGUGGAGCACGAGAGCACGUGUUAGGACCAGAAAGAUGGUGAACUAUGCCUGGGCAGGGUGGAGCCAGAGGAAACUCUGGUGGAGGUCCGUAGCAGCCCUGACAUGCAAAUUGGUCUUUCGACCUGGGUAUAGGGGUGAAAGACUAAUCGAACUAUCUAGUAGCUGUUUCUCUCUGAAGUUUCCCUCAGGAUACCUGGUGCUCUAACAAACCUAACGUCCCCACGCAGUUUUAUCUUUUAAAGCGAAUGAUUAGAGGUCUUGAGGCUGAAACGAUCUCAACCUAUUCUGAAACUUUAAAUGUGUAAGAAGGCCGGCUCGCUGGCGUGGAGCCGGGCAUGGAAUGCGAGUGCUUAGUGGGCUAUUUUUGGCAAGUAGAACUGGCACUGUGGGAUGAACUGAAUGCCGGGUUAAGGUGCCUGGUGCCAACACACAUCAGAUGCCAGAGAAGGUGUUUGUUGAUAUACACAGCCGGACGGUGGCCAUGGAAGUUGGAAUCCGCUAUGGAGUGUGUAACAACUCACCUGCCGAAUCAACUAGCCCUGAAAAUGGAUGGUGCUGGAGCGUCGGGCCCAUACCCGGCUGUUGCCGGCAGUUGAGAGUGGACGGGAGCGGCAGGGGCGGUAUGCCCAUGUGAGUGUGGUGGGGGUCCUCUCCUGCCCCCUCCCCCGGAGCCCCAUGGACUCUGCGUCGCGACGAGUAGCAGGGCCGCUGCGGUAAGCUUUGAAGCCUAGGGCGUGGGCCCAGGUGGAGCCGCCACAGGUGCAGAUCUUGUUGGUAGUAGCAAAUUUUCAAAUGAGAACUUUGAAGGCCGAAGUGGAGAAGAGUUCCACGUGAACAGUAGUUGAACAUGGGUCGGUCGGUCCUGAGAGAUUGCUGAGUGCCGUUCCGAAGGGACGGGUGAUGGCCUCUGUUGCCCUCAGCCGAUUGAAAGGGAGUCGGGUUUAGAUCCCUGAGUCCAGAGUGGCGGAGACGGGCACCACGAGACGUCCAGUGCGGUAAUAUGACCGAUCCUGAAGAAGCAUGCGGGAGCUCCCGGGAGGGUCCUCUUUUCUUUAUGAAGGACAGGGUGCCCUGGAAUGGGUUCACCCUGAGAGAGGGGCCUGUACCUUGGAAAGCGUCGUGGUUCUGGUGGCAUCUGGUGAGCUCUGGCUGGCCCUUGAAAAUCCACGGGAGACAGUGUAAGUCUCGCACAGGGCCAUACCCAUGUCUGCAGCAGGUCUCCAAGGUGAACAGACUCCGGCAUGUUGGAACAAUGUAGGUAAGGGAAGUCAGCCAGCCAGAUCCGUAACUUCGGGAUAAAUAUUGGCUGUAAGAGCUGGGUGGCAUGCCGCCACUGGAUGAGGCGCUCCUGCCCCCCCAACGCCCUGGGCGAGCCUGUCAUGGCCCUCCCCUGCCCCACCCCACGUGCCGCUCACUCCCUCCCUCGCCCCCUUUCUCCCCGUCCUCCCCCUCCCUGGGGGUGGCAGUGGAGGUAGGGCCCUGGUGGCGGGGCAUGAUCUCCCGUGAGGGCGGCCUGGAGAGCCGGUGUCGGUGGUGACUCUGGUCGUGAGUUGGGCCCUUCCCAUGGAUUGCCCCAGUUGUGGCCACCCAUGUGGAGCCCGGUGGGUGCUGGUGUGGCCUGUCUCGCUCCGUGCCAUCGUGCAUGUCCGCAUGGGCAGGGAGUGAUUGGGUGUCGGUGGGUGGUGGGGUGGGGUGGUUUGUUCCCCCAUCUCCCUCUGGCCCAAUCCGUCUCCCUUCCCCACCUCCGUGGCAGUGGCGGGAUGUUGGCUGGUCCCUGUCCCCGGGGCCGCGGUUCCGUGCAGUGCCUCGGCCGGUGCUUAGCAGCCAACUUACAACUGUUGUGCACCAGGGGAAUCCGACUGUUUAAACAAAGCAUUGCAAAGGCCCUCGGGGGUGUUGCAAAGUGAUUUCUGCCCAGUGCUCUGAAUGUCAAAAUGAAGAAAUUCAAUGAAGCAUGGGUAAAUGGUGGGAGUAACUGUGACUAUCUUAAGGUAGCCAAAUGCCUCGUCAUCUAACUAGUGAUGUGCAUGAAUGGAUUAAUGAGAUUCUCACUGUCCCUACCUACUUACUCUCCAGUGAAAAAACAGCCAAGGGAAUGGGAUUGGUGGACUCAGUGGGGAAAGAAGACCCUGUCCAGCUUGACUCUAGUGUGGCAUGGUGAAGAGAUGUGAGAGGUGUAGAAUAAGUGGGAGGUCCCCAGUGCCCCCCUGUCCCCGUGAGGGGGUGGGGUGGGGUCCUGUGGGCUGCCCAUGGAAUACUACUACUCUGACCGUUUUUCACUGACCCGGUGAGGCAGGGGGUGAGCCCCGAGGGGCUCUCCCUUCUGGCGCCAAGUGCCCAGCUGUGCACCAGCCGGAUGUGACCUGUUCCGGGGACAGUGCCAGGUAGGGAGUUUGCAGCGGUAAACCUGUUGAACGGUAAUGCAGGUGUCCUAAGGCGAGCUCAGGGAGGACAGAAAUUUCUUAAGGAGAAGAGCAAAAGCUCGCUUGAUAUUAACUUUCAGUGCGAAUGCAGACUGAAAGCCGGGCUUUGACGAUCCUUCUCACCUUUUUAAGCAGGAGGUUGUCAGGAAGUUACCACAGGGGAUAACUGGCUUGUUGCGGCCAAGUGUUCUUAGGGACGCUGCUUUUUGAUCCUUUGAUGUUGGCUCUUCCUAUCAUUGUGAAGUAGAAUUCACCCAGCAUUGGAUUGUUCAACUAAUAGGGCAUGUGAGCUGGAUUUAGACCAUCAUGAGACAGGUUAGUUUUACCCUACGUGAUGUGUUGCCAUGUUACCUACUCAGCAUGAGAGGAACCACAGGUUCAGACAUGUGCUUGGUUUAGGAGCCAAUGGGGUGAAGCUACCGUCUGUUGGAUUAUGACUGAACGCCUCUAAGUCAGAAUCCCACCCAAGUGGAAGGAUACAGCAACACUGUGGAGCCUUGGUUGGCCUUGGAUAGCCGGUUCCCCUUCCCUGCUGGUGGGCUGCCGCACCCUGGGGGGGUGUGCCCCACCGUGUGCCAGGACUGGGUCCAGUGCAGAGUGCCCUUCAUCUUGGGAAGGGUGUGGCCGGAAAGGCGACCUACUCGCCCGUCAUGCAACACACUUUCGGGGGGAACUUGGCGCUAAACCAUUCGUAGACGACCUGCUUCUGGGUCAGAAUUUCGUAAGUAGCAGAGCAUCUCCCUUGCUGUGAUCUAUUGAAAGUCAGCCCUUGACACAAGGGUUUGU
RNAcentral lists this ribosomal RNA (4557 nucleotides) under Pongo abelii (Sumatran orangutan). RNAcentral's name for it is "Eukaryotic large subunit ribosomal RNA (ENSPPYG00000038573.1)". It matches the Rfam family "Eukaryotic large subunit ribosomal RNA". The record is from Rfam by way of RNAcentral. Lineage: Eukaryota; Metazoa; Chordata; Mammalia; Primates; Hominidae.